RNAcentral lists this small RNA (916 nucleotides) under Drosophila pseudoobscura pseudoobscura. Its description in RNAcentral is "GA22408". Lineage: Eukaryota; Metazoa; Arthropoda; Insecta; Diptera; Drosophilidae. The record is from RNAcentral.
GGAUAAAUCAUAGAACUGGAUAUCUUAGUUGAUAAUUAAGUGUUGAAAGAAAAGAGUAGUAAUUCCAAACGGCAUCAGAUUCAUUCUACCAAAAAGACGCACAUUGUCAAGUCGUCAUUUGAAAAUCGGAAUUCACUUCGAUCACAAUGAAUCAGAAUAAUAAAGGGCUCUCGCAAAAGUACCCCCCCCACCAAGGCCAUCAGGCGUUCAUCAAAAAACUGGCCAAGAAGCAAAAGUACUUCGAUUCGGCCGACUAUCAAAUGGCCCUCCAGAGCCCGGACCAGGGGCAAGCCGUGGGAGACGGCUCGCGGAUCACAGGCGCUCUGGUGGUCACACUGGAGGCCAUUUCAGCAAGAAAGUCGCAGCUGCCAGGGUCCCCACUGGUAGAGUCAUUGUCCGACUCAAAAGUGUCUUCGGCUUCAGCCAAGCUGGAGUCCCUGGAAGUGGGGAAACCCGAAUCACACUGACUUCCCCAUCUGAGCAGCAGCCCGAAAGGAUGGCGUAGAUGCUGGAUACAUUUGUUCCAAAUGUUCUAUACACACCUUUACACUGGAACCAAUGCAAGACAGAAAGCCAGCAACAGUCUGGAACACAGCCAAGGAACGCAGGGAUUUCCCCGAUCUCCGUAAUAUUUGCAUGUUGCUUCGGCAGGCAGCUCGACACGUACAAGAGACUUCAACAAACCACAGCCAGAGAAAACAAGUAUCUUCUAAGAUUGAUCCAAGAUAUCUCGGGCUUUUGUUCUGGGAGCAUUCGCAGCCGAUGGAUGUCUUGGAUGUCUGGGAUCUCUACUCCGCAAUUAUAGGAAAAACAUCUGCCAGGACAAUUCACUCGUCAAAUUCAUUAUACAAAUGUACAACUUUCGGGACGGAGGCGGAAGAUGGCUGCAAUAAAUAAUACCGUAUGGGGAAAUCUA